This 2675-nucleotide long non-coding RNA is filed under the name Homo sapiens (human). Its description in RNAcentral is "HSALNT0351818". Lineage: Eukaryota; Metazoa; Chordata; Mammalia; Primates; Hominidae. The record is from RNAcentral.
AAUCAUCUAUUGCCUGAGAGCACAGUGGGAGGGACAAUGAUCAGGAUAUAAAGCCAGGCAUUCCAGCCGGCAACGGCUACCCUCUUUGGCUCCCCUCCCUUUGUAUGGGAGCUGUGUUUUCACUCUAUUAAAUCUUGUAACUGCAUACUCUUCUGGUCCGUGUUUGUACCGUGUUUGUUACCGCUCAAGCUAAGCUUUCGCUCGUUGUCCACCACUGCUGUUUGCCGCAGUCGCAGACCCGCCGCUGACUUCCACCCCUCCGGAUCUGGCAGGGUGUCUGCUGUGCUCCUGAUCCAGCGAGGCGCCCACUGCUGCUCCCGAUCGGGCUGAAGGCUUGCCGUUGUUCCUGCACGGCAAGUGCCUGGGUUCGUCCUAAUUGAGAUGAACACUAGUCGCUGGGUUCUACGGUUCUCUUCCAUGACCCACGUCUUCCAAUAGAGCUAUAACAUUCACCGCAUGGCCCAAGAUUCCAUUCCUUGGAAUCCGUGGGGCCAAGAACCCCAGGGAGAUGGAAGGGAGUCAAGGAUGUUGCCAUGUAUGUGCCAUCUCUGCCCUAAGCCAAUAUCAUGAAGAAAUCAACAAGAGGUGGAAUAAACUGAGCAAUUCAUCACCAUAUUAAGCUGGAUAUUCCUGUUUAGUAAAUAUCUUUCCCUAGCUGGUAUCCUUGCAUCCUGUGAGGGGGAGGAGGUGCAGGCACUAAGCAGAUUCCUGGAAAUCAAUGGCCAGAGGCGAUGUUUUCAGAGAGGCCUUCAUCCUUCUCCUAACAUUGCUUUGGUCUCCAGGCCCAUGCACUGCUAAGAUCCCAAGAUUCAGACUGGGGGAUGGGAGUUGAGGAGAUGCCACCUUUAGGCUGAGCUGGGAGCUUCUGUCCACCUUUAUCAGACUUGAUCAGACUGUGCACCCUGGGGUAUCACCCUCUGCUUCAAUUAACACAAUGACUUCCCACCUUCGCAUCCUCCUCCUUCAAGGGGGACUUGGCUCGGUCAAUUAUUUCCUUCACCUUUUGCAUGUUCAGUGUUUUCCUUUCUUCCCGAGGCUUCCCCUCUGUGGACCAACAUGUUCCUCCAUGGCAAAAACAAAAACAACCAGCCCAAACCAGUUCUUUCUGCCCUCCUGCCCUCUGCAGGUCAGCGCUGCCUCCUCCCUCCCUUUCAUGGCAUUGAAUGGUGAGAGUGCAAUACCCUCAGUGGCGCCUAACAGUCAGCAGUGAGCGCUCAGGACCGUCACCCACCUCUGCGGCCGAUGACCCUCUCUUUGGCUCUGGCCCCAGCCGGCCUUGCGCUGUUCCUUCUCACGGUUUUUCCUGGCUCAUCUUCGUGCCCCCUCCCCUGAGGGUCCUGGAGGUCUGAGCCCUCUGGCCGCCUCUCCUCUCUCCUUGCACUCCUCCUCUCAUGGAGCGACCCCGUCUGUGCCACCUUCUCACCUUCCAUGUCACACACCUUCAGCCUUCACUGAGGAGAGAGCAGGGCUGCAGCAUCGUGUUCCAGUCUCAUCCCUCACGGAGCCGAGAACUAAAAAUUGAAACAGAGAAACCUCCUGACAAGGCCGCUGGCAAGUUCAAUGGGAACAACUCAGGUUUUCAGAAAGAAGUAUGAUCCCUGGAGCCAGCGGGUUCAAAAGAACGAAGAGAUUUAUCAAGAAUGAGACAUACCAGACCAGCUGCGUUGCUUUCCAUUGACAGGAAGCAAAUCAGCUGCUCAGGAAAAGGUCAAGCAUGGCACCUGGUCUCAGAGAGGUGUCCGUCAAAGGCUGUCAUAACAGCCCUAUGGACAAGAAGGAGACCUGGGCCAGGAUCUCCAUGAACUGUCCUAAAAUUUCCAAGAGAAGGAGACAUCCGUCAAGUAGAAGACAAAAAGGGAUGCUGACCAGGGAGGCCGGAUGCUGGAUGUGGUCUAGGAGGAAGCCUUGGAAUUUUCUCACUCUGGAUUGUGGAACCACAAAGUCAGCCUGGAGCUGCCUACAUCUGGACACCUAGGCUCCUGUCAGAGCCAGUUUAUUAUUUCCAGUCACUCAUUACUGGGAUUCUCCUCUCCCUGGGGCGUUAUGAAGGUAAGGAGAGGGUUCUUGGGCAGUCAGUUUCAGCAUUAACCGUUUUAUUCCCACAUUUGGCAAUAGGGCUUGCCGUCCAUUAUUUAUGGCCUCUGUCUUAAUCUGUUCUGUGUUGCUAUAACACGAUACCACAGACUGGGAAAUUUAUGAAGAAAAUCAAUUUAUUUCUCACAGUUCUGGAGUCUGGAAGUUCAAUAUCAAAGUGCCAGCAUCUGACAAGGGCCUUCUUGCUGAGACAUCCCAUGGCAGAAGCCAAAAGAGCAAGAGAGAGCGAGGGCAAGUGAGCAAAAGGAGGCCAAACUCACUUUUAAAACAGCCCACUCUAGAGAUAACUAACCCACUCCCUCAAAAAUGACAUUAAUCCAUCAGGAGAGCAGAACGCUUAUGACCUAAUCACCUUAUUAGGCCCCACCUCCUAACACUGUUGCAUUGGGGAUUAAGUUUCCAACACAUGAGUUUUGGAGAACACAUUCUCAAACCAUAGCAGCUUCCUUCCAAAACCUGUCUCAACUGCCCAAAGCCUUUUCCAGACUCUUCUUCUACUUGCAAACCCUCUAUUCAAACCAAAGAAACAAUUAAUAUAACCUUAAAUUUACAAAACCAUGUGGUUUGUUAAACAAUCACAU